UACGUAGGGGGCAAGCGUUGUCCGGAAUCAUUGGGCGUAAAGCGCGUGUAGGCGGCUCGGUAAGUCUGCUGUGAAAGUCCAGGGCUCAACCCUGGGAUGCCGGUGGAUACUGUCGAGCUCGAGUCCGGGAGAGGAGAGUGGAAUUCCUGGUGUAGCGGUGAAAUGCGCAGAUAUCAGGAAGAACACCCGUGGCGAAAGCGGCUCUCUGGAACGGUACUGACGCUGAGACGCGAAAGCGUGGGGAGCGAACAGG
This 253-nucleotide ribosomal RNA is filed under the name uncultured bacterium. Its description in RNAcentral is "partial 16S ribosomal RNA". It matches the Rfam family "Bacterial small subunit ribosomal RNA", at positions 524 to 776 of the family's 1533-position model. The record is from RNAcentral.